Long non-coding RNA from Notothenia coriiceps (black rockcod), 690 nucleotides. RefSeq lists it as uncharacterized. The transcript is spliced from 4 exons. The record is from RefSeq and is a predicted model, not a curated record. NCBI's taxonomy places the organism in Eukaryota, Metazoa, Chordata, Actinopteri, Perciformes, Nototheniidae.
AUCAGACAUUACACAAGCAGGACAGAGCAGCUGACACUUGACACCUUCACUCAGACAUACAAGUCCAGCUAAAGUCGGGCGAGACUUGUAAACAAACAUUUCAAACUAAAGAGAAAUCCUGUUUGGUUCAAACACACAGACAUUUGAAAUGGAUGAAAUGUCAUAUUGCUCUUUCUCUGGUGGAGAAGAAUACAAAAAUCACUUCCUACCUGGCAUUUAUGUUUGCUCUGAAUGCGGGCACAAGUUAUUUUCCAGCAUGUCAAAGUUUGAGCACUCUACUCCCUGGCCGGCCUUUUCACAGACAAUUCACGAGGACAGUGUCACCAAACACCCUGAAGCAUGGGGACCCCUAAAGGUUAGUUGUGGGAAGUGUGGCAAUGGAUUGGGCCAUGAGUUCUUGUACGAUGGACCAAAGGAAGGGCUAUCCCGCUUCUGAAUAUUCAGCAGCUCACUCACAUUCAUCCCUAAAGAAAAGGUUGAUGGAUAGAAGGGUGAGCUGUGAAAGUGAAGAAAGCCUUCUGCUGCUGAAGGUGCUGACAGUUGAUGAAGGGCCUUGGAACAAAGCCUAAUGGAGCUCCAGGGCUCUGAUGGACAUUGGCCUCACUGUGCAGCAAGAACAGACCAGUCUCAACCACUUUUAAACCAGGUCUCAAUUCUACCACAUUAAACUGUACAACGGAACAAAAACGA